CCCUUAGACGUUCUGGGCCGCACGCGCGCUACACUGACGAAGGCAACGAGCUUUCCUUUACCGAAAGGUACGGGUAAUCUUUUGAAACUUCGUCGUGCUGGGGAUAGAUCCUUGCAAUUUUUGAUCUUAAACGAGGAAUGCCUAGUAAGCGCAAGUCAUCAACUUGCGUUGAUUACGUCCCUGCCCUUUGUACACACCGCCCGUCGCUACUACCGAUUGAAUGGUUUAGUGAGGCCUUCGGAUCCGCGACUCGUUUGUGGAGAAGUUGGACAAACUCAGUCAUUUAGAGGAAGUAAAAGUCGUAACA
Molecule: ribosomal RNA, 307 nt
Filed under: uncultured eukaryote
Lineage: Eukaryota
Description: partial 18S ribosomal RNA
Rfam family: Eukaryotic small subunit ribosomal RNA
Source: RNAcentral